RNAcentral lists this ribosomal RNA (288 nucleotides) under Eriococcus coccineus. Its description in RNAcentral is "partial 28S ribosomal RNA". Lineage: Eukaryota; Metazoa; Arthropoda; Insecta; Hemiptera; Eriococcidae. The record is from RNAcentral.
GAGCCCGUGAAUCCGGGCGACAGAAUUCAGAAUCGACGGGCGUAAAACCCCGUCUAUUUGAUAUUUCUGUCGCCGCGUAUGCACGGACGUCGCGACCUGUUCGACGUCGGUCUUCCCCAGGAACCGUGUUCGAGUUUGGUGUCGGAGUGCGCGUUCGCGUGUGCUUCAGCGGCAAAGACGCGGACUUCUGGCCGACUCGUCGGACAGUAGGUCAACAAGGGUGGCCGGCGUCGCCCUCGAGUGACGCCGGUGCCGGUCAGCGACGAAUCUUCGGGCCUCUUUCCGACC